AGGACGAACGCUGGCGGCGUGCUUAACACAUGCAAGUCGAACGGUAAGGCCUUUCGGGGUACACGAGUGGCGAACGGGUGAGUAACACGUGGGUGAUCUGCCCUGCACUUUGGGAUAAGCCUGGGAAACUGGGUCUAAUACCGAAUAUGACCAUGGGAUGCAUGUCUUGUGGUGGAAAGCUUUUGCGGUGUGGGAUGGGCCCGCGGCCUAUCAGCUUGUUGGUGGGGUUACGGCCUACCAAGGCGACGACGGGUAGCCGGCCUGAGAGGGUGUCCGGCCACACUGGGACUGAGAUACGGCCCAGACUCCUACGGGAGGCAGCAGUGGGGAAUAUUGCACAAUGGGCGAAAGCCUGAUGCAGCGACGCCGCGUGAGGGACGAAGGCCUUCGGGUUGUAAACCUCUUUCAGCACAGACGAAGCGCAAGUGACGGUAUGUGCAGAAGAAGGACCGGCCAACUACGUGCCAGCAGCCGCGGUAA
Molecule: ribosomal RNA, 480 nt
Filed under: uncultured bacterium
Lineage: Bacteria
Description: SSU rRNA
Rfam family: Bacterial small subunit ribosomal RNA
Source: RNAcentral